CCUACGGGAGGCAGCAGUGGGGAAUUUUGGACAAUGGGCGAAAGCCUGAUCCAGCCAUUCCGCGUGAGUGAAGAAGGCCUUCGGGUUGUAAAGCUCUUUCGCAAGGGAAGAAAACUUAUAUUCUAAUAAAGUAUGAGGAUGACGGUACCUUGAUAAGAAGCACCGGCUAACUACGUGCCAGCAGCCGCGGUAAUACGUAGGGUGCGAGCGUUAAUCGGAAUUACUGGGCGUAAAGCGUGCGCAGGCGGUUUUGAAAGUCAGAUGUGAAAUCCCCGAGCUCAACUUGGGAACUGCGUUUGAAACUCCAAAGCUAGAGUAUAGGAGAGGGGGGUAGAAUUCCACGUGUAGCAGUGAAAUGCGUAGAGAUGUGGAGGAAUACCAAUGGCGAAGGCAGCCCCCUGGCCUAAUACUGACGCUCAUGCACGAAAGCGUGGGGAGCAAACAGGAUUAGAUACCCUGGUAGUCCACGCCCUAAACGAUGUCUACUAGUUGUUGGUGGAGUAAAAUCCAUUAGUAACGCAGCUAACGCGUGAAGUAGACCGCCUGGGGAGUACGGUCGCAAGAUUAAAACNCAAAGGAAUUGACGGCUGAGACGNGCGAGACGACGACGAGGAGGAGG
Molecule: ribosomal RNA, 619 nt
Filed under: uncultured bacterium
Lineage: Bacteria
Description: bacterial SSU rRNA
Rfam family: Bacterial small subunit ribosomal RNA
Source: RNAcentral